Molecule: ribosomal RNA, 443 nt
Filed under: uncultured bacterium
Lineage: Bacteria
Description: partial 16S ribosomal RNA
Rfam family: Bacterial small subunit ribosomal RNA
Source: RNAcentral
CCUACGGGAGGCAGCAGUGGGGAAUAUUGGGCAAUGGGCGCAAGCCUGACCCAGCCCCGCCGCGUGCCGGAAGAAGGCUUUCGGGUUGUAAACUUCUUUUGUCAGGGACGAAGCAAGUGACGGUACCUGACGAAUAAGCCACGGCUAACUAAGUGCCAGCAGCCGCGGUAAUACGUAGGUGGCAAGCGUUAUCCGGAUUUAUUGGGUGUAAAGGGCGUGUAGGCGGGAAUGCAAGUCAGAUGUGAAAACUAUGGGCUCAACCCAUAGCCUGCAUUUGAAACUGUAUUUCUUGAGUGCUGGAGAGGCAAUCGGAAUUCCGUGUGUAGCGGUGAAAUGCGUAGAUAUACGGAGGAACACCAGUGGCGAAGGCGGAUUGCUGGACAGUAACUGACGCUGAGGCGCGAAAGCGUGGGGAGCAAACAGGAUUAGAUACCCUUGUAGUC